Molecule: ribosomal RNA, 497 nt
Filed under: uncultured bacterium
Lineage: Bacteria
Description: partial 16S ribosomal RNA
Rfam family: Bacterial small subunit ribosomal RNA
Source: RNAcentral
GAUGAACGCUGGCGGCGUGCCUAACACAUGCAAGUCGAGCGAACGGACGCGAAGCUUGCUUGUCUGAUGUUAGCGGCGGACGGGUGAGUAACACGUGGAUAACGUCCCUAUAAGACUGGGAUCAUUUCGGGAAACCGGCGCUAAUACCGGAUAAUAUUUUGAACCGCAUGGUUCAAAAGAGAAUGACGGUCUUGCUGUCACUUAUAGAUGGAUCCAAGCUGCAUUAGAUAGUUGGUAAGGUAACGGCUUACCAAGGCAACGAUGCAUAGCCCACCUGAGAGGGUGGUCGGCGACACUGGAACUGAGACACGGUCCAGACUCCUACGGUAGGCAGCAGUAGGGAAUCUUCCGCAAUGGGCGAGAGCCUGACGGAGCAACGCCGCGUGAGUGAUGAAGGUCUUCGGAUCGUAAAGCUCUGUUAUUUGGGGAGAACAUAUGUGUAAGUAGCAGUGCAGAUAUUGACGGUACCUAAUCAAAAAGCCCCGGCUAACUACGUG